CAGUCGCCGCGGUAAUACAGAGGGUGCGAGCGUUAAUCGGAUUUACUGGGCGUAAAGCGUGCGUAGGCGGCUUCUUAAGUCGGAUGUGAAAUCCCUGAGCUUAACUUAGGAAUUGCAUUCGAUACUGGGAAGCUAGAGUAUGGGAGAGGAUGGUAGAAUUCCAGGUGUAGCGGUGAAAUGCGUAGAGAUCUGGAGGAAUACCGAUGGCGAAGGCGGCCCCCUGGACAAAGACUGACGCUCAGGUGCGAAAGCGUGGGGAGCAAACAGGAUUAGAUACCCGCGUAGUCCCUGUCUCUUAUAC
Molecule: ribosomal RNA, 301 nt
Filed under: uncultured bacterium
Lineage: Bacteria
Description: partial 16S ribosomal RNA
Rfam family: Bacterial small subunit ribosomal RNA
Source: RNAcentral